Long non-coding RNA from Monomorium pharaonis (pharaoh ant), 3098 nucleotides. RefSeq lists it as uncharacterized. The record is from RefSeq and is a predicted model, not a curated record. NCBI's taxonomy places the organism in Eukaryota, Metazoa, Arthropoda, Insecta, Hymenoptera, Formicidae. The transcript is spliced from 2 exons.
UAUUGGACGGAAAUUAUAUAUCCUUGGCGCCGCCAGUGUAUGAGUUGUUAUCGCCCUGGAAGAUUUUCAAGUCACCUUAAAAAUGUUGGAUUUCAAACUUUCCGAAGUUAUUUAACUGAAGACGAAGGAUUCCAGACCGUGAAAUAAUAAAACCGUUCCGCUCCUGCCUGGAUCUCGUCCAUAUUCUGUUUCCUUUCGGAUCCGUUCUUAGUUAAGCGAGCGAGACACUACGCUACCACUUGACUCGAUAUUAUACCGAAGCAACUACCGUUUAUUAUUUUCGGAAAUUAGUUUUUGUACCGAAAUCAAGCAGCCGCGUGCGAAUUAUUUUGUAUCAACCUCUCGCGCCAGCGAGUAACUAAUCUAAGGCAAAUUGUAAAUCUGUUGUCUAUCUAAUAUUUUUGUUAUUUCAUAAUAAAGUUAUAUCGUAUUUUUAAAAUCGGUAUUUCACAAACUUUCUCGAACCUGACAAUCCGGCGAGCAAAUCCGGUAUACGCGAGAAAGUCCAACCGUUACAAUAUAUAUAUACAUACAUAUACAGACAGGCAUAAAUCACAUAAAAAUCAUAAAAACUUUAUUUAAAAACAUUUUUCUAUAUAUUUUGUUUCAACGAUUAGCAACAAUCUUUUAUAGUUUCGAUAUUUGCCUGGAAAAGAAAAAACCGAUUUUUUUCGAAAGGGUGUUUCACCCACUCAAAGUAGAAGUUAGCAGAAAUGAAAAAUAGUUCCCUAUUAGGAACGAACUAUUCUACUUACAUAUAAUUUUUCAGAAUUUUCUGAAUUUCCGAGUUGGCUAACUUUCCUUAUUAGGAAAAACAGAACUUUCCAAGGUGUGCGACUACAAGUGGCUGUACAAAAAACCGAUCAUCGCCAUACUCCACGAAGUUAUCUUUUGCCAGCAAGAAUUUCACGAUCGCCAUUAAAGUCAAUAAAACUGUUCGCACCUCAUCGGGUAACAAACAAUUUCUUGUUACUAUUGAACUAAGAAGACCUAAAUCAACUGUUUUUAUAUUGAAACAAACUUGUCCGCUUUCACUAUUUCAUCCAAACAUCGACUCCUUGUUUCAUGGCACUCAGUGUUCCAGAACACAUACCAACUCCGAUUUACAUCGGAGUUGGUAUGUGUUUAUAUAUUGAUUGACAGUAAGAUUGACAUAUCGUAACAGUGCGGACGAUUGAACAACUACCGUUCGAUGUUCUAACAAUAUUAAUUUUGCAAAUUUCUGAGCCGAACUUAAAGGAUGACUUUGAACACAUGCACGUAUCGCGAUAAAUCAUGAAUCACUCGUCGUUCCAUGUAAAUAAAGCAGAUUGUGUUUGCAGUCGAUUCAUAUUUUUGCAUACUUCAUGAAGCUUACGACUGUCUAGUUUUUAUCUCUUUGCAAUUUCCUGCUUUAGUCUAAGUUGACGGAAAAAUCGCAGAAAUUUACAAAUUUUUUGCGUUUUUUCCCUUUUAUUUUUUAUUCUUAUUUAUUACGUUCAAUUAAGUUUAUAUUUCUUUAUGUCUAUUUUCAAAUCUUUUGUAAAUAUAUUUUUUAGCGUCUAACAACUUAUUAAGCAAAUGUCGAUAGUGACAGCUAGUUUCGUUGAAAAGAACCGCCAUUACCACCUUAGUGCGCCUUUGGAUAAACAAUCCAUCGUAAUGAACUGUAUAUGAGAUAAAACACCUUGUAUAUACUGUGACGUGGUAGCUCAGCUGCCACGAGUAGCAGCGUUCCUCCCCCGUCACAGGCUGCGAUUUCGCGCCGUACGGGGAAAAUAGGCGAGAGGCGAGAGGGGAUCUCCAUGGGGAACCGCGACAGACCUAGCGAGCGUAGCAUUAAUUUCUUAUAUUUUUGAUUUCUUUGCGCGGCGGCCGUCUUCCGAUGGAAUGCGACGAGAGAGAGAGCGAGAGAGAGGAGGAGAGAGAGCGACGACGAUGCGGGGAAGGAGGAAGGACGCCACCGGUGCCCGGGAGAGAUGAGCACGCGGCCCGCACGGGGAUUCGGCGUGGCCCUGGGAGGGCCACGGCCGGAGCCUAAAGCGGCGGUGCCCGCCGACACCACAACGGAACGUCCCGGAGGGCUGUGGAGGAGCCCGGAUGGGACCAAACGCGUCGAGGGAGGCGUCGAGUCCUCUCACGAGGAACGGAGGUCUCCGCGUGCGCUGCCCCGGCUCGGGAAAUGGCCCAGCGGGAGAAAGAAUAUUUUGCGGGGGCCUGCGAGGCCCCCGGAAGGAUUACGGCGCGCACGUCCCUGCGUACGCAGGACUGCGUGCUUUGCAGCAAUUGGGUCGCGGCGCGGAAACAAUGCGCAUGACUGGACGGGGGGGUCGCGGCGUCGAUCCGGGAUCGACCGCGAUCCACCCCGCUUUUGCGUGCGAGCGGUCUGAGAAGGAAGGUCGCGUGUCGUGCCCCGGAGGGCGAGUUAUCGGUGUGGCGAGCGAGAGGCCAUCGCGAGAGCCGAGGACGAGCCGAGCGACGAGGGAGGACGCCUUGGACCUUAUCGGUGAGGUGGUCUGCCGAGAUAAGUGAUUGUGAGCGGUUGUCGGCCGGCGAGGGGUCCCCUGGCCCGUUCUGCAUCCGUUUUGGUGUUGGUGCGUGAGUCGCGCGGGCCGCAGGGCGGCCGUCCGUUCGCGUAAGUAAUUGGGAGAUAUAUCGGAUGCAAGCGGGCGGGACGCCGAAGCGCCGAGCCACGGGGAGGACGAUUGUAAGGACGCGUGGGUUCCGUCGGAGAUUCCCCUCGACCGCGUACGCCGCAGAGCCCUCGCGCGAGCGAGUAUCGCGUCGCGAGUAGCGGGUGGACGGGACUUCCGGUUUCGCGACGGUGUGUAGUGCGGUAGCGGCCGGCGAUUAUUGUGUGACCCCCGCGAGACACGCGGUCGCGUUCUCUAGUUGCCGGGAGUGUCGGCACGUUCGAACGUCCGAAAUUCAUGUGCGCGGAAGAUCCCAUCGUCUGUCCUUGUCGGCCGCGUGCCUACCGCGAGAGCUUCCCGCGUAUCGUUAGCGUCUCUGUUUGGUUUGAUUCGCGCCGGGGCGCCGCCUUGUCGGAACGCCGCAUGCCGCGUCCCGCGAUAUUAUUGUUCUGUCUGACUAUUAAUCUCAAUAAAGUUCGUUACUUG